Molecule: ribosomal RNA, 177 nt
Filed under: uncultured bacterium
Lineage: Bacteria
Description: partial 16S ribosomal RNA
Rfam family: Bacterial small subunit ribosomal RNA
Source: RNAcentral
AGUCGGAAUUGCUAGUAAUCGCGGAUCAGCAUGCCGCGGUGAAUACGUUCCCGGGCCUUGUACACACCGCCCGUCACACCAUGAGAGUCGGGAACACCCGAAGUCGGUAGUCUAACCGCAAGGAGGGCGCCGCCGAAGGUGGGCUUGAUAAUUGGGGUGAAGUCGUAACAAGGUACC